AACAGAGAGAUUGGGUCCUGUCCCCAGUAAUCUUCCUCAUAAUUGACCCAGGAUUUGGUCCUGGGCCUCCCACAGCCACUCCAAGCACCACACUGUACACUACCUUGGCUCUGAUGUGUCCCCUCCCCCUCCACAGGAAUGGCAACAGCACAUGAUUAAAAGAGGAGGGAAAGACCCUGGAAAGAAUAUAAGGGUUCCUUGGCAGUUGGGAGCAGCUGGAACUUUCUGAAAACGUCCCAUGACCAUUGAAAAUGGCUGGAAAUCCCUAGAAGGAUUCCACAGCAGUUGGGAGCAACUUGAACUUUAUAGAAGGACUGCAUGGCAAUGGAGAUGGCUGGAAAAUUCUAGAAGGGUUCCAUGGCAGUUGGGAGCAGCUGGAACCAUCUAGGAGGGUUCCAUGACAGUUGGGAACGGCCUAUGCUCAAGCAUCAUUUCUCUUGGCCAUGUAGAACAUUGUGAGAUGGGCCUUCUCUCCCACUCAUCUAUUUCUGGGAAGGGGAAAUGGAAGCUCGACUGGUGUCCUUUGGCUUGUUUCAGUAUCUCUUUAAGGACACAAGAUUACAUACGCAGCCUCCUAUAUGAGCUACGGCUUCCUUUUUUCUUCUUCCUGUGAAUGGUCUUGCAGGCCAGGAAUGGCCGGAAGCAUCCAAGAGGGUUCUGUCACAUUUGGAAACAGGUGGUGGGCAUGGCUGGUUCUACAGCACCCAGGAAUGGAGAACAGCUCCCAAGAGACUCCAUGGCAACUGGGAAGAGCAGUCAAGAGCUGGGAGGAUUCCAUGCCAACUGAAAAUGGCCAGCAGCAUUCCGAAUAACUACCUGUAUUCUGGCCUGUUCCUCUUUGAUUAAAAAAUCAAGCUCUGCUCAUCCUGA
Molecule: long non-coding RNA, 870 nt
Organism: Hemicordylus capensis (graceful crag lizard)
Lineage: Eukaryota; Metazoa; Chordata; Lepidosauria; Squamata; Cordylidae
Exons: 2
Source: RefSeq, a predicted model, not a curated record